Molecule: long non-coding RNA, 515 nt
Organism: Tachysurus vachellii
Lineage: Eukaryota; Metazoa; Chordata; Actinopteri; Siluriformes; Bagridae
Exons: 6
Source: RefSeq, a predicted model, not a curated record
AACAGGUCACACUGGUCUGGCUUGUGUUUCUGGGAAACAGUCAACUUGAGCUUUGUGAAGAAGUGAAUCACAACAAAAUGAUUGCACCAAAUUGCAUCAUACUGUAGUUAUUAGCGCCACAGUUUGUAAAGCAAGUUUCCUGUUCUGCGUAACUAGUGACGAGGAAAAACAUUCCAAAAUGAGUCUCUUUGGGGAUCAAGUGAAAGGGAACGAUGAAAGUAGUUUGAUGGAAGGUGAGAGAUCAGACCCACCUGAACCCAGCCAAGUGUCUAUGAAGACUGACUGGUCAAUGGAUCAACCAUGGAAUUUGAGAGACAGAAACAGUUCUACUGAGCUGAGCUUGAUGGAAGGUGAGAGAUCAGACCCACCUGAACCCAGCCAAGUGUCUAUGAAGACUGACUGGUCAAUGGAUCAACCAUGGAAUUUGAGAGACAGAAACAGUUCUACUGAGCUGAGACUCCAGAAGGAGAAAUCAAAAGUAACCAGCAGAAAUCAAAUGGAAUCCAUAUUUAAGG